AUCGAUGAAGAACGAGCGAAAUGCGAUAAGUAAGUGAAUUGCAGAUUUUCAGGAAUCAUCGAAUCUUUGAACCCCGCGCUCCUUGGUAUUCCGAGGAGCAUGCCUGUUUGAGUGUCAUU
This 119-nucleotide ribosomal RNA is filed under the name uncultured Atheliaceae. RNAcentral's name for it is "5.8S ribosomal RNA". It matches the Rfam family "5.8S ribosomal RNA", at positions 32 to 154 of the family's 154-position model. From Rfam's summary of the family: 5.8S ribosomal RNA (5.8S rRNA) is a component of the large subunit of the eukaryotic ribosome. The record is from RNAcentral. Lineage: Eukaryota; Fungi; Basidiomycota; Agaricomycetes; Atheliales; Atheliaceae.